AUGCAGAUUGCCUCGCUCWGAUCGCAGAGRGARCUUGCUCCUUUGACGUUAGCGGCGGACGGGUGAGUAACACGUGGGCMAYCUACCUUAUAGUUUGGGAUAACUCCGGGAAACCGGGGCUAAUACCGAAUAAUCURUUUCACCUCAUGGUGAAAUAUUGAAAGACGGUUUCGGCUGUCGCUAUAGGAUGGGCCCGCGGCGCAUUAGCUAGUUGGUGAGGUAACGGCUCACCAAGGCGACGAUGCGUAGCCGACCUGAGAGGGUGAUCGGCCACACUGGGACUGAGACACGGCCCAGACUCCUACGGGAGGCAGCAGUGGGA
RNAcentral lists this ribosomal RNA (322 nucleotides) under uncultured bacterium. Its description in RNAcentral is "bacterial SSU rRNA". It matches the Rfam family "Bacterial small subunit ribosomal RNA", at positions 55 to 358 of the family's 1533-position model. The record is from RNAcentral.